Molecule: ribosomal RNA, 188 nt
Filed under: Weissella viridescens
Lineage: Bacteria; Bacillati; Bacillota; Bacilli; Lactobacillales; Lactobacillaceae
Description: partial 16S ribosomal RNA
Rfam family: Bacterial small subunit ribosomal RNA
Source: RNAcentral
CAAAAUGAGAGUUUGAUCCUGGCUCAGGAUGAACGCUGGCGGCGUGCCUAAUACAUGCAAGUCGAACGCUUUGUGGUCCAACUGAUUUGAAGAGCUUGCUCAGAUAUGACGAUGGACAUUGCAAAGAGUGGCGAACGGGUGAGUAACACGUGGGAAACCUACCUCUUAGCAGGGGAUAACACUUGGAA